Molecule: ribosomal RNA, 253 nt
Filed under: uncultured bacterium
Lineage: Bacteria
Description: partial 16S ribosomal RNA
Rfam family: Bacterial small subunit ribosomal RNA
Source: RNAcentral
UACGUAGGGGGCUAGCGUUGUCCGGAAUCAUUGGGCGUAAAGCGCGUGUAGGCGGUUCGGUAAGUCCGCUGUGAAAGUCGGGGGCUCAACCCUCGAAUGCCGGUGGAUACUGUCGAACUAGAGUGCGGAAGAGGCGAGUGGAAUUCCUGGUGUAGCGGUGAAAUGCGCAGAUAUCAGGAGGAACACCAAUUGCGAAGGCAGCUCGCUGGGACGUUACUGACGCUGAGACGCGAAAGCGUGGGGAGCAAACAGG